Molecule: ribosomal RNA, 506 nt
Filed under: uncultured bacterium
Lineage: Bacteria
Description: partial 16S ribosomal RNA
Rfam family: Bacterial small subunit ribosomal RNA
Source: RNAcentral
AUUGAACGCUGGCGGCAGGCCUAACACAUGCAAGUCGGACGGUAGCACAGAGGAGCUUGCUCCUCGGGUGACGAGUGGCGGACGGGUGAGUAAUGUCUGGGGAUCUGCCCGAUAGAGGGGGAUAACCACUGGAAACGGUGGCUAAUACCGCAUAACGUCGCAAGACCAAAGAGGGGGACCUUCGGGCCUCUCACUAUCGGAUGAACCCAGAUGGGAUUAGCUAGUGGGCGGGGUAACGGCCCACCUAGGCGACGAUCCCUAGCUGGUCUGAGAGGAUGACCAGCCACACGGGAACUGAGACACGGUCCAGGCUCCUACGGGAGGCAGCAGUGGGGAAUAUUGCACAAUGGGCGCAAGCCUGAUGCAGCCAUGCCGCGUGUAUGAAGAAGGCCUUCGGGUUGUAAAGUACUUUCAGCGGGGAGGAAGGCGAUGUGGUUAAUAACCGCGUCGAUUGACGUUACCCGCAGAAGAAGCACCGGCUAACUCCGUGCCAGCCGCCGCCGUAA